GAAGAAGAAGAAGUAAAAAGGCUGAUUUUCCGAGAGAUUUUAUUCAUAAUGGAAAGCAGCAGCAGCGCUGGCAGUAGUGCUGAGUACAUCUUUAAAUGGAGCAGGGAGCAUACAGAGGAGUUGAUAAAACUCCGUGGGCAAAAUGACCACCUCUUUACCGGGGCCAAAAAUACUGCUGCAUAUGGAUGGAGAACAAUCCUGCAAAAAAUGGGCCUGGAGGGUGAAGUUGAGCCACAACAGGCCAAAAAAAAGUGGGACAACUUGGAAAAAAAAAAUACAAAGUAUGUUCAGGUUUGGCUACAUAUAUGUGUGUGUAUAUAUGUGUAGGGAAAUAACAUAUUACAUGUAUUAUAUUCAGGUUAAUUUACACUUUGAGAAAGCUUGAAAAAAGUCAUCUCCAAGUUAACAUUCCAAUUUGUCUCUUUUUCUGUAGAAUUUCAUGCAUCCAUCCAGUUCAUGAAACACUCCUUUAUUCUAGCUUUAAAGAAACACUACAGAAAAUUGCAUCUGUUGACACAAAUUGUUUUUCUUUACUUUAGGAAUGCAAAGAUCCAGGGACAGGGCAGGGGGUCAGUGGGAAGCCUACUGCUGCCACCUGGCCUUGGUUUGUCCUCAUGGAUGAGGUAUUAGGACAGAGGCCCUCUAUUGCCCCACCUGUCCUAAUUGCCUCCAUCCCUGAGGACACACCAGGGCCAGGUGCUGCAGAGGCUGAGCAGCAUCAGGGGGAUAAUGAGGAAGAGAAUGACGAUGAGAGGCCAGGAGAGAGGAAGGAAAGGAGGAAGAGAAGUAGGAGUGACGAGUUGGUAGAUUUAAUCAGUGAGGAUAUCAGAUGGCAGAGGGAGGCAGAGCAGAGAAGAGAAAGAGAGAGUCGGGAAAGGAUGGACAGAUUAUUUGAUUUAUUGGAGAGGAUGGUGGACAGACGUUAAUUUUUGUUAGUGUUUUUUUUUACAAGUUCAGGUUCUGUGUUGCUGUUGUUGUUAAAUUAAAC
Molecule: long non-coding RNA, 988 nt
Organism: Fundulus heteroclitus (mummichog)
Lineage: Eukaryota; Metazoa; Chordata; Actinopteri; Cyprinodontiformes; Fundulidae
Exons: 3
Source: RefSeq, a predicted model, not a curated record